This 912-nucleotide ribosomal RNA is filed under the name Pyrenophora teres. Its description in RNAcentral is "partial large subunit ribosomal RNA". It matches the Rfam family "Eukaryotic large subunit ribosomal RNA", at positions 36 to 962 of the family's 3401-position model. Lineage: Eukaryota; Fungi; Ascomycota; Dothideomycetes; Pleosporales; Pleosporaceae. The record is from RNAcentral.
UAGCAUAUCAAUAAGCGGAGGAAAAGAAACCAACAGGGAUUGCCCUAGUAACGGCGAGUGAAGCGGCAACAGCUCAAAUUUGAAAUCUGGCUCUUUUAGAGUCCGAGUUGUAAUUUGCAGAGGGCGCUUUGGCUUUGGCAGCGGUCCAAGUUCCUUGGAACAGGACGUCACAGAGGGUGAGAAUCCCGUACGUGGUCGCUAGCUAUUGCCGUGUAAAGCCCCUUCGACGAGUCGAGUUGUUUGGGAAUGCAGCUCUAAAUGGGAGGUAAAUUUCUUCUAAAGCUAAAUACUGGCCAGAGACCGAUAGCGCACAAGUAGAGUGAUCGAAAGAUGAAAAGCACUUUGGAAAGAGAGUCAAACAGCACGUGAAAUUGUUGAAAGGGAAGCGCUUGCAGCCAGACUUGCUUGCAGUUGCUCAUCCGGGCUCUUUUGCCCGGUGCAUUCUUCUGCAGGCAGGCCAGCAUCAGUUUGGGCGGUGGGAUAAAGGUCUCUGUCACGUACCUCUCUUCGGGGAGGCCUUAUAGGGGAGACGACAUACCACCAGCCUGGACUGAGGUCCGCGCAUUUAUGCUAGGAUGCUGGCGUAAUGGCUGUAAGCGGCCCGUCUUGAAACACGGACCAAGGAGUCUAACAUCUAUGCGAGUGUUUGGGUGUCAAGCCCGAACGCGUAAUGAAAGUGAACGGAGGUGGGAACCCGCAAGGGUGCACCAUCGACCGAUCCUGAUGUCUUCGGAAGGAUUUGAGUAAGAGCAUGGCUGUUGGGACCCGAAAGAUGGUGAACUAUGCUUGAAUAGGGUGAAGCCAGAGGAAACUCUGGUGGAGGCUCGCAGCGGUUCUGACGUGCAAAUCGAUCGUCAAAUUUGGGCAUAGGGGCGAAAGACUAAUCGAACUAUCUAGUAGCUGGUUCCUGCG